AGUGAACGCUGGCGGUAGGCCUAACACAUGCAAGUCGAACGGCAGCACAGUAAGAGCUUGCUCUUACGGGUGGCGAGUGGCGGACGGGUGAGGAAUACAUCGGAAUCUACUUUUUCGUGGGGGAUAACGUAGGGAAACUUACGCUAAUACCGCAUACGACCUACGGGUGAAAGCAGGGGAUCUUCGGACCUUGCGCGAUUGAAUGAGCCGAUGUCGGAUUAGCUAGUUGGCGGGGUAAAGGCCCACCAAGGCGACGAUCCGUAGCUGGUCUGAGAGGAUGAUCAGCCACACUGGAACUGAGACACGGUCCAGACUCCUACGGGAGGCAGCAGUGGGGAAUAUUGGACAAUGGGCGCAAGCCUGAUCCAGCCAUACCGCGUGGGUGAAGAAGGCCUUCGGGUUGUAAAGCCCUUUUGUUGGGAAAGAGAAGCAGAAGGUUAAUACCCCGCUGUUCUGACGGUACCCAAAGAAUAAGCACCGGCUAACUUCGUG
RNAcentral lists this ribosomal RNA (492 nucleotides) under uncultured bacterium. Its description in RNAcentral is "partial 16S ribosomal RNA". It matches the Rfam family "Bacterial small subunit ribosomal RNA", at positions 29 to 507 of the family's 1533-position model. The record is from RNAcentral.